This 539-nucleotide ribosomal RNA is filed under the name uncultured Glomeromycotina. RNAcentral's name for it is "SSU rRNA". It matches the Rfam family "Eukaryotic small subunit ribosomal RNA", at positions 552 to 1096 of the family's 1831-position model. The record is from RNAcentral. Lineage: Eukaryota; Fungi; Glomeromycota.
AGGGCAAGUCUGGUGCCAGCAGCCGCGGUAAUUCCAGCUCCAAUAGCGUAUAUUAAAGUUGUUGCAGUUAAAAAGCUCGUAGUUGAAUUUCGGGGUUCUACCGUUGGUCGGGCUAUUGUCUGUACUGGCGUGUAGAAUUUCUACCUUCUGGAGAACUAUCAUGUUAUUAAUUUAGCGUGGUAGGAAACCAGGACCUUUACCUUGAAAAAAUUAGAGUGUUCAGAGCAGGCUUAUGUCUGAAUACAUUAGCAUGGAAUAAUAAAAUAGGACGGUGGUCCUGUUUUGUUGGUUUCUGAAUCACCGUAAUGAUUAAUAGGGAUAGUUGGGGGCAUUAGUAUUCAAUUGUCAGAGGUGAAAUUCUUGGAUUUAUUGAAGACUAACUACUGCGAAAGCAUUUGCCAAGGAUGUUUUCAUUAAUCAAGAACGAAAGUUAGGGGAUCGAAGACGAUCAGAUACCGUCGUAGUCUUAACCAUAAACUAUGCCGACUAGGGAUCGGACGAUGUUAACUUUUCUUGACUCGUUCGGCGCCUUACGGGAA